AGAAAAUGAGGCCAGAAGAUAAUUUGGAAACCAGGAGAACUGAGACAAGGGACAAGGUGUCACCAUGUUGCCCAGGCUGGUCUUGAACUCCUGGGAUCAAGGAAUCCUCCUGCCUCAGCCUCCCAAAGUGCUAGAAUUAGAGACGUGAGGCACCACACCACCUACCUUUAUAUUUAAGCAACAGUUUGACUGCAUACAAAAUUCCUGGGUCACAUCUCUUUGCUGGAGGAUUUUAUUGGCUCUGAGAAGCUGACUUUUAUUGAUCGCAUAAACGGGGAUGCUUU
RNAcentral lists this long non-coding RNA (284 nucleotides) under Homo sapiens (human). RNAcentral's name for it is "HSALNT0367554". The record is from RNAcentral. Lineage: Eukaryota; Metazoa; Chordata; Mammalia; Primates; Hominidae.